GACGAACGCUGGCGGCGUGCCUAAUACAUGCAAGUCGAACGGAAAGGCCCUGCUUUUGUGGGGUGCUCGAGUGGCGAACGGGUGAGUAACACGUGAGUAACCUGCCCUUGACUUUGGGAUAACUUUUGGAAACUGGGGCUAAUACCGGAUAGGAGCUACUGCUGCAUGGUGGGGGUUGGAAAGUUUCGGCGGUUGGGGAUGGACUGGCGGCUUAUCAGCCUGUUGGUGGGGUAGUGGCUUACCAAGGCUUUGACGGGUAGCCGGCCUGAGAGGGUGACCGGCCACAUUGGUACUGAGAUAGGGCCCAGACGCCAACGGGAGGCAGCGGUGGGAAGUAUUGCGCAAUAGGCGGAAGCCUGAGACAGCGGCGCCGGGUGCGGGAUGACGGCCUUCGGGGUAUAAACCGCUUUCGCCUGUGACGAGGCGUGAGUGACGGUAAUGGGUAAGAAAGCACCGGCUAACUACGUG
RNAcentral lists this ribosomal RNA (468 nucleotides) under uncultured bacterium. RNAcentral describes it as "partial 16S ribosomal RNA". It matches the Rfam family "Bacterial small subunit ribosomal RNA", at positions 28 to 507 of the family's 1533-position model. The record is from RNAcentral.